GCACUGCUGAGGAGUCCCAAAAUAGGACGAAACGGCCUUCUAGUGC
This is a non-coding RNA of Schistosoma haematobium, 46 nucleotides long. The record is from Rfam. NCBI's taxonomy places the organism in Eukaryota, Metazoa, Platyhelminthes, Trematoda, Strigeidida, Schistosomatidae.